Molecule: small nucleolar RNA, 130 nt
Organism: Phyllostomus discolor (pale spear-nosed bat)
Lineage: Eukaryota; Metazoa; Chordata; Mammalia; Chiroptera; Phyllostomidae
Product: small nucleolar RNA SNORA41
Exons: 1
Source: RefSeq, a predicted model, not a curated record
ACCUACUACUGGUCUGCAGCUGUUCUUAUGGUGGCAGUGGUGUCAUUCCUCUGUGGGAAAGAAACUGUUGCAUGGUUAAACACCCCUUUCUUAGCAAAACAGAAAGUGGGCAUAUAUGUGACAAACACAA